UACGUAGGGGGCAAGCGUUGUCCGGAAUCAUUGGGCGUAAAGCGCACGUAGGCGGCCCUGUAAGUCCGUUGUGAAAGUCAAAGGCUCAACCUUUGAAUGCCGAUGGAUACUGCAGGGCUAGAGUCCGGAAGAGGCGAGUGGAAUUCCCGGUGUAGCGGUGGAAUGCGUAGAGAUCGGGAAGAACACCAGUGGCGAAGGCGGUCUGCUGGGCCGUUGCUGACGCUGAGGCGCGACAGCGUGGGGAGCAAACAGG
This 253-nucleotide ribosomal RNA is filed under the name uncultured bacterium. RNAcentral describes it as "partial 16S ribosomal RNA". It matches the Rfam family "Bacterial small subunit ribosomal RNA", at positions 524 to 776 of the family's 1533-position model. The record is from RNAcentral.